ACAUUGGGAAAGGUGCCGAAGACAUGAACUUUGGUCUUCUCUGCAAUCCCUCUGGAGCAUUCAGUGACAACGUCGACUUUGAAGUUGCACUGACCUGGCCAGCCCUGCCACUUACCAGGUUGGGCUCUUGAGUUUCUGCUUUCAAGUGACCCUCAGAAAUGCCCCCAUUCACUGCAGAGGUUCUGUUUCUCCUUGUUUUGUUCCGACUUUAUGGCAGAACUAGGUUAAUGAGUUAAUUACUAUGAGUUAUCACUUGGAUUUGAAGAACCAUCAUUUCUAGGCUUUGCUGCUCAGAGUGGGUUUGCCCUCAGGGGAAGCUAUCUAACCAGAGCCUAACCCACUAGGGUUUUAUCAGAACCUAACUGGCCUGAGGAAAAGAAAUAUUCAACUCCAGCAAGCUCCAGCCUUCCAAACGGAGGAGGAGAAAACCCAAAUCCAGCCCACUUCAGCUAUCUUGUCCCACAUAAAGGGGGAGUGGAAGAAACGUGAGAAGCAGGCAUGAAGUUCACAGUCCGGAGGUACAGACACAUCAGAGUUCAGUAUCUGAUGAAUUAGAUGCAAAAUCCUCAACAAAGUAUUAGCAAAUUGAAUUCAACAAUGUAUGAAAAUUAUUACAUGCCAUGACUAAUUGGAAUUUAUCUCAGGUAUACAAGCCAUGCUGAACAUCUGAAAAUCAAUUCAUGUGAUCCAUCACAUUAGCAGAUUCAAGAAAAAAAAAACCACAUUAUCAUAUCAGUAGAUGUAGAAAAAAAAAAUUAACAAAAUCCAGCACGCAUUCACAAUGAAAAUGCUCAGUAAAUUAGAAAUAGAAGGUAACUUCCUCAACUUGACAAGGAAUAUCUCUAAAAACCUACAACUAAAAUCAUACUUAAUGGUAAAAAACUAGAAGCCUUCCCAGUAAGAGUAAGAACAAGGCAAAGAUGUAUGCUCUCACCACUCCUUUUCAACAUCAUAUUGGAAGUCCUAGCUAGUGCAAUAAGCAAAAAAAAAAAAAAAA
RNAcentral lists this long non-coding RNA (997 nucleotides) under Pongo abelii (Sumatran orangutan). RNAcentral describes it as "lincRNA". The record is from RNAcentral. Lineage: Eukaryota; Metazoa; Chordata; Mammalia; Primates; Hominidae.